This 253-nucleotide ribosomal RNA is filed under the name uncultured bacterium. RNAcentral describes it as "partial 16S ribosomal RNA". It matches the Rfam family "Bacterial small subunit ribosomal RNA", at positions 524 to 776 of the family's 1533-position model. The record is from RNAcentral.
UACGUAGGCAGCAAGCGUUGUUCGGAAUUACUGGGCGUAAAGGGCUCGUAGGCGGCCAACUAAGUCAGACGUGAAAUCCCUCGGCUUAACCGGGGAACUGCGUCUGAUACUGGAUGGCUUGAGAUUGGGAGAGGGAUGCGGAAUUCCAGGUGUAGCGGUGAAAUGCGUAGAUAUCUGGAGGAACACCGGUGGCGAAGGCGGCAUCCUGGACCGGUAUUGACGCUGAGGCGCGAAAGCUAGGGGAGCAAACGGG